CCCGGGUCUUGUACACACCGCCCGACACACCAUGGGAGCGGGAUGUACCAGAAGUAGGUAGGCUAACCGCAAGGGGGCCGCUUACCACGGUGCGUUUCGUGACUGGGGUG
RNAcentral lists this ribosomal RNA (110 nucleotides) under uncultured bacterium. RNAcentral's name for it is "partial 16S ribosomal RNA". It matches the Rfam family "Bacterial small subunit ribosomal RNA", at positions 1373 to 1482 of the family's 1533-position model. The record is from RNAcentral.